GGGCCCGUGGCGCAGAAUGGACAGCGCGGCGGCCUUCGGAGCCGUAGGUCGUGGGUUCAAGUCCCACCGGGCCCG
RNAcentral lists this transfer RNA (75 nucleotides) under Candidatus Caldarchaeum subterraneum. RNAcentral describes it as "Candidatus Caldiarchaeum subterraneum (hot springs metagenome) tRNA-Arg". It matches the Rfam family "tRNA". Rfam says of the family: Transfer RNA (tRNA) molecules are approximately 80 nucleotides in length. Their secondary structure includes four short double-helical elements and three loops (D, anti-codon, and T loops). The record is from RNAcentral. Lineage: Archaea; Thermoproteati; Nitrososphaerota; Candidatus Caldarchaeales; Candidatus Caldarchaeaceae. RNAcentral also lists the same sequence under 1 other name.